This 497-nucleotide ribosomal RNA is filed under the name uncultured bacterium. RNAcentral's name for it is "partial 16S ribosomal RNA". It matches the Rfam family "Bacterial small subunit ribosomal RNA", at positions 28 to 507 of the family's 1533-position model. The record is from RNAcentral.
GAUGAACGCUGGCGGCGUGCCUAAUACAUGCAAGUCGAGCGAACAGAUGAGGAGCUUGCUCCUCUGACGUUAGCGGCGGACGGGUGAGUAACACGUGGAUAACCUACCUAUAAGACUGGGAUAACUUCGGGAAACCGGAGCUAAUACCGGAUAAUAUAUUGAACCGCAUGGUUCAAUAGUGAAAGACGGUUUUGCUGUCACUUAUAGAUGGAUCCGCGCCGCAUUAGCUAGUUGGUAAGGUAACGGCUUACCAAGGCAACGUUGCGUAGCCGACCUGAGAGGGUGAUCGGCCCCACUGGAACGGAGACACGGUCCAGACUCCUACGGGAGGCAGCAGUAGGGAAUCUUCCGCAAUGGGCGAAAGCCUAACGGAGCAACGCCGCGUGAGUGAUGAAGGUCUUCGGAUCUUAAAACUCUGUUAUUAGGGAAGAACAAAUGUGUAAGUAACUAUGCACGUCUUGACGGUACCUAAUCAGAAAGCCACGGCUAACUACGUG